This 70-nucleotide transfer RNA is filed under the name Ictidomys tridecemlineatus (thirteen-lined ground squirrel). RNAcentral describes it as "Spermophilus tridecemlineatus (thirteen-lined ground squirrel) tRNA". It matches the Rfam family "tRNA". From Rfam's summary of the family: Transfer RNA (tRNA) molecules are approximately 80 nucleotides in length. Their secondary structure includes four short double-helical elements and three loops (D, anti-codon, and T loops). Further hydrogen bonds mediate the characteristic L-shaped molecular structure. tRNAs have two regions of fundamental functional importance: the anti-codon, which is responsible for specific mRNA codon recognition, and the 3' end, to which the tRNAs corresponding amino acid is attached (by aminoacyl-tRNA synthetases). tRNAs cope with the degeneracy of the genetic code in two manners: having more than one tRNA (with a specific anti-codon) for a particular amino acid; and 'wobble' base-pairing, i.e. permitting non-standard base-pairing at the 3rd anti-codon position. The record is from Rfam by way of RNAcentral. Lineage: Eukaryota; Metazoa; Chordata; Mammalia; Rodentia; Sciuridae.
GGGAAUGUGGCUUAAGUAGUAGUGCGCUUGCCUAGCAUGCAUGAGGCACUGAGUUCGAUUCUCAGCACCA